RNAcentral lists this ribosomal RNA (253 nucleotides) under uncultured bacterium. RNAcentral describes it as "partial 16S ribosomal RNA". It matches the Rfam family "Bacterial small subunit ribosomal RNA", at positions 524 to 776 of the family's 1533-position model. The record is from RNAcentral.
GACGAGGGAUCCUAGCGUUGUUCGGAAUCAUUGGGCGUAAAGCGGGUGUAGGUGGCUUUGUAAGUCGGGCGUGAAAGCCCAGGGCUCAACCCUGGAAGUGCAUUCGAUACUGCGAAGCUUGAAUGUCGGAGAGGUUACUAGAAUACCUGGUGUAGUGGUGAAAUACGUAGAUAUCAGGUGGAAUACCGGAGGCGAAGGCGGGUAACUGGCCGAACAUUGACACUGAGACCCGAAAGCGUGGGGAUCAAACAGG